CCUACGGGUGGCUGCAGUGGGGAAUAUUGCACAAUGGGGGGAACCCUGAUGCAGCGACGCCGCGUGAGUGAAGAAGUAUUUCGGUAUGUAAAGCUCUAUCAGCAGGGAAGAAAAUGACGGUACCUGACUAAGAAGCCCCGGCCAAAUACGUGCCAGCAGCCGCGGUAAUACGUAGGGGGCAAGGGUUAUCCGGAUUUACUGGGUGUAAAGGGGGCGUAGACGGUUCGCCAAGUCUGGAGUGAAAAGCCGGAGCUUAACUGCGGAACUGCUUUGGAAACUGGCGAACUAGAGUGAGGGAGGGGUAAGCGGAAUUCCGAGUGUAGCGGUGAAAUGCGUAGAUAUUAGGAGGAACACCGAUGGCGAAGGCAGCUUACUGGAUCGUAACUGACGUUGAGGAUCGAAAGCGUGGGGAGCAAACAGGAUUAGAUACCCCAGUAGUC
This 440-nucleotide ribosomal RNA is filed under the name uncultured bacterium. Its description in RNAcentral is "partial 16S ribosomal RNA". It matches the Rfam family "Bacterial small subunit ribosomal RNA", at positions 338 to 795 of the family's 1533-position model. The record is from RNAcentral.